UUAUCUCCUCUUUCAAAGAGGAAGGUCGUUUUUUUUAAUAAAAGAGAGCACUCUCCCUGAUUUCCAUUAAGAGAAAUCACCAUGUCUUACAAAGGAAAAUCGGGAAAUAAAACUGCAGCAUAACCCCUCCCCCCUCUUUUCGCAGUUAUGCUAACCUAUUGAGGGGGGGGGGGGGAGCCAUCCCUUUCCCCCCCAUUUUGUCCUCAAGGUAGCACCCCCAGGGGAUCCAAGGGCCGGGCUCAAAACAAGUCCCAGCCCUCAGCUUUAAAGCACGUCUCAAAACACAGAAAAACAUUCCAAGGGGAAUCACACACAGCCACCUCUAAACAUAGUAGUCUACCAUCCCUACAUUUUUAUUACUGCCCCAGGAGCAAAAUAUCGGAGAGCAGCUUGAAACAAGAAGGCAAGUCGUUGUCGAAGCGUCUGUUUUCGCAGCACUAGAGGAUUGAAAGGUGGUCACCCCAUGAUUCUCCCAGUCUUCAGGCGCCAUCCAUGAGCUGCUUUGAACACUUCUCCAGCCACCUCGCCGACUUGUUUCACUCCAGCCUCCAUCAUCUUACUUCUUACGGGGUUUGUCUGCAAAACAUUCCAAUCAUGCAAGUUUUUAAGAAGCAGGUUAACAGGUAUACAGGGAUCAUUCACCCUGUUGUUAUAAAAAAUAAUACUAUUUCUCAACUUCCAAAUAGUCCAGCAAAUCGCUGAGAUGCCUAUCAUAACCAAACCCCUUUCAUCUUUUCCAAAAGUCUUCACCCAGAUUCUCAUUACCAGGUCAAGAUCUUCUGGGAUGUUUUUUUAAUUGAAAGCACAUUUCAAGAUAUUUCAUAAUAACCUAGCAACAGAGCAAGAGAGGAAAAGGUGGUUUAUAUUUUCUUUAUGUCCACAAAAAGGACAUUUAUCAUCGCCUUUCCAACCUCUGCGCAGCAGGUUAUCUUUCGGAAGUAUACUAUUUUUAAGAGCCAACCACAUAAAGACUUUGACUCUGGGUGGCAUUUUAAUUUUCCACGUGUACAAGUGUGGGUAUCUGAUACCAUUUUCAAUCAGAUGUCUAUAGAAGGAUUUUACAGUAUAAACCCCUUUCUUAGUCAGUGUCCAUUUCACCUCAUCGUUGUCCUCAUUCAGAGUCACUGAGCUACAAGCCUCCUUAAUAUGCUCCCAGAGCACUCUUGAAUCCCUUGUCAAAGUUCUCCUAAAAUGCAUGUUAUCUAUACCAUUAUCUAGGAUCUCCUUAACUAUUUUCUUUUUAUCAAAGCAUAUAUCGUACAACCUAGGCAAGUUUUUGCUAAGUGGAGCAGAUCCAAUCCACCAGUCUUCCCAAAAUCGUGUUUUGUCCCCUUUUCCCACUGUGAAUUUACAUAACGAGGUAAAAUGGUCUAUGUUUCAGGAUCUCCCUCCAAAACUGAGAGUCUCCCUGUUUGACAGAUACACUGCCCAGGUUUUUAUUUCUUAUAUAUUUUUUCAAAAUAAUAUCCUGCCACAGCCCCUCAGUUGUGUAUAACUUCCACCACCAUUUGCAAAGCAGAGCUUUGUUCAUAUGGGUGAGGUUUUGGAUCCCCAAACCCCCCAUAUCUUUCGGCCUGCACACCUCAGACCAUUUAACUAGAUGGUAUUUUUUCUUUUGAUCAUUCUCUUGCCAUAGAAAUCUAGCUCUGAAGAAAUCCAUAUGCUUGUUUACCCCAAUGGGUAAACCAUAGAAAGACAUCAUAAAAUAAGGUAUGCCUGUCAAGAAGAUUGAAUCAGCGUAACCCUCCCUGCACUGGCAAGUAAUCUGCCUUGCCAGUUUUCACAUUUUCUCUCCAUUUUACUCUCAGGAGGUUUCCAAAGUUUAUUGCCAAUUCUAUUUUUAUCAACUGGUAGUCCUAGAUAUUUCAUAGGCAAAACACCCAUUGGAUAUGUAAAGAUUCUUGCAUAUUCAUCCUUUUUAUCAAUGGCUUCCCCAAAUAAAAAUAGCUCACUCUUAUGAAAGUUAAUCUUCAGCCCAGACAUUUGCUCAAAGAGGCACAAGAUAUAUUUCAAAUUAUGGGCACUAUCUAUAUCAUCUUGUAAUAAGAAGAUAGUAUCAUCUGCAUAUUGUAACAUGUUAACCCCAUUUGGAACAUUUUCAUUUAGUACCCCUUUAACCAGACCAUUUUUUCUAGCUUUGUCUAACAUAAUUGCUAGAGCAUCAGCAUCCAGGUCAAAGUUGAGAGGUGACAAUGAAUCCCCCUGCCUCAACCCUUUAUGAGUGAGGAAAUAUUUUCCUAGAUUUUCAUUGACUUUUACACAAACUUUCCCCCCUAAUGGUUUCCAUCACCCAGUCCACCCAUUUAUCAGGGAAUCCUUUUAAUCUAAGCAUCUGAAAAAGGAAAGACCAUUUGAUUUUAUCAUAUGCCUUUUCAAAAUCAAUUUUCAAUAAAAGAGCGCUUUGCUUUUUCUUUUUAAUGUUGUUUAAGGCUUCGUGUAAAAUCAGAACCCCUUCCAUAAUAUAUCUGCCUUUAACAAACGCAGUCUGAACAGGAGAUAUAACAUCAGCAGCUCCCAAAUUUAGCCUGUUCAUCAAUACUUUUGUAAUGAUUUUAAAGCAGACAUUUAGCAGGCAAAUUGGCCUAAAUUUUUGUAUUUUAUUAGCAUCUUUUCCUUUAGGGACUAGAGUAAUAAUCCCAUAGUUUAAUCUACUAAUAUCAAUUUUCCUUCUGGCAAAGUCAUCCAACAAGGCUUUGAGAUCAUGUUUCACCAAUUCCCAAUAGUGCUGAUAGAAUUCAGCUAUAAAUCCAUCUGGGCCAGGUGAUAUGUUAUGUGCCAUUUUGAAGACAACCUUCUUAACUUCCUCCAAAGAGAAUUCUUCAGUCAGAAUAUCUCUAUACCUAUCUUGGAUCUUAUCUGGAUUAUCAAUAUUUAAAGAGAUUGAAGAGUCAUCAGGGGGACCAAACAAGUUUUUAUAAAAGGCAGUGAUGUAAUCUAUUAGAUUUUUUCAGCCUCCACAACCCCCUCAUCCUGUUCCAGUUUGUUAAUUCUAUUUCUUCUAAGUCUCCCAUUAGCUUUGGCAUGGAAGAAUUUGGCGUUACUAUCCCCUUCUAGAAUUUCAUCUAUCUUAGCUCUCUGUCUCCAUUUAGCUUCCUCAUGUUUAAGAAGUCUAUCAAGUUGAGCUCUCAGCUUCAUUUGUUCUUUUCUAUCAGCAGCUGUAAGGCCAUUUAAUUCACAAUGUUUAUCAAUAGUAUCCAAUUUCAUCAGAAUGUCUUUUUUUAACUCUAUGUGCCAGGCAUUCAUAUUCAUGUUCCAUCCUUUAAGUUUGGGUCUAAGAAUCCUAAAUUUACCUAGCAGUCUAUCUAUGUUGUCCCCUUUAAUUCCUGGGUCAUUCCAAACCUCCUGAACAAUUUUAUCAAUACCUUCCCUCAAGAACCAGGCAUUUUCAAAUCUAAAAAUUGGGUCAGAUUUUUGAAAAUCCCCAGAGUCUAGGAAAAGAGGAGUGUGAUCAGAUUUCUCUCUAGUCAGAGCUGUAACCUGGGUUAAAGGGUAAGCUUCUUCCCACUCUGUACUACAAAGAAUUCUAUCUAAUUUUUCAAAAGUGGGAAUAGGUAAAUUAUUCCCCCAUGUGAAUUGUCUCCCAUUCAUCUCAAGCUCUCUCACCCCAGCUUGUUCUAAAAUGGCAUUAAACAAAAAACUUCAGUGUCCAAGAGACCCUGGUUUUUUUUCACUGGCUUUUCUAAUAAUGUUAAAGUCACCUCCAAUCAAAAUGAGGUUGACACAAUUUUGAAAAAUUCUGGAUAGCUCAGCUAGGAAGAUUGCUUUUCUUUCGGGUUGGGCAUCUCCAUAUAUCACCACCAGGUCCCAAAUCAACCUAGUUUUCAGAUCUUGGACUGUCAUUUUGAUAUGACAAUCCCCCUCAUCUUGUGAGAUCGCAUCUAAGAUGGUAUAAUUAACUCCCAACAAGAGACCACCAGAUUUCCCCCUAGCUGGGGUGAAAUGCCAGUGAAAAUCCCUACCAGCACAGAUUUGCUGCAGAUCAUUCCUAGAAAAUUGUUGUCUCAUGGUCUCUUGUAGACCCAAAAAGUCCACCUUCAUGUCCAUAACCAUUUCCCUAAGAAAUCUUUUUUUUAUAUCCCCCCAAACCCUCUCAUAUUCUAGAAGAUGCCUCUCAUCUUUUUUUAUUUUUUUAACAGAAGAUUCUAGGGCCUUAAUAACAGAGGCAGUUUUAACUCCAGAACCUCUGGUAGUUUUGCCUCUCUUUUUCCCUUUUUUGGAUGAGAAAAGCCCCCUUAGUAAAUCCCUGUCGUCUUCCUCCUCUUUAUCCCCCUCAUUCUCACCCUGAUCUAAUAGAUCUUCCAGGGUGUGUUCCUCAGUGUCAAUGAUAUUAGUCUCCUCAGGCAGAGGAGUUUGCUUUUGAUUUUUGUUAUAAUCAUUUAACCACAUAUCAAUUCUAGCCUGUUCAACAUUUUUUAUCAAUUCUAAAUUAUGAUUAAUCAUAUCAGGGUUGUUACCCAAGUUGACUCCCACCCCUUCAGCAAUUUUUUGAAGGAAACUAUUGGAUCUAGAGAUGAUUCAACAUGUAGGCUCACCAUAGUUAUUCUUCUGAGCUGCUCUCUCCUUGGCCAGCUCAGUGAUAUUGCCAUCUUCCUUGCCUUUCAAUCUAGUGCAUCUCCUUAGCUCUUCUUCCUCUUGGGAUUCCAAUUCCCCUUUCUCAGCUUUUUUAACUUUUGUCCCAAAGGAAUCUAUCUCCUGGCUAGCAGUAUAAUCCACUGGCUUCAUAUAACCCAAAUCAACUACCUGAUUCAUCAGCUCAAGGUCUGUCAUGUCUUCCCAAUCCACCUGCUUGUCUUCUGUUGCUGCUUCCUCAUCAAUAGCUUCUUCCUCUUCUUCAUUUUCAGUGGUUUUUUCACCUGACUGUGACCCCCCUCACAUCAUCAUUCACUUUCAGGUUAAUUUGCAACAGUUCAUGUUGUCUCGUGACCUCUUUUUCUAGUGUUUUUCCUAUGAUUUCCAUUUCUUUUCUUUUGUUCUCUUCCAGCAUAAGUUGUGCACUCUGCCUAGCAGCUAAUUCCUUUGCUUUUUGUAAUCUCAUCCUCAGACUUUCUUCUUCACCCUGAGUAUCUGUUAUUGUUACUGUCUCCACUCUCUCUUUAGCUGCUUCACUGGUUUGGCCUAUGUCACCAGAAUUGAGGACCAUUUGUUCAUACUGCUUUAGCCCCAGGCUCCCCAGAAUGAGAUUUGGUUUCCAAGUCUCAUAUUGUUUGCUUUUCUUCUGCAUGUCAUUCUCUCUCUGUAUUUCAGGAUUUCUAGAUCAAGGUAGUCAAAAAAUUUCCUUUUAUUCCCCUCAUCAAACUUGUACCAUCCCUGUUCUGCAAAAGAAUCAAACUCAAAGCCUAUGUCAUAUAGCAGCAGGUCUUUUGUAGUGAUCUCAGUGCCAGCAGGGAUUUUGUGCAAGUCCCUCACUCCCACUUUCACCCUAAUUUCUUCCUUGGAAUGAAUAUGUUCUACAUCCACUUCAACCACAGGGCCCAAAGCUGAGCCAAUUUCACACACACCCAAAUAAUGUCUCAGGGUAUCAGGCACUCCCCACAUUUUUAUCCAAACUGAAUGGAGUUUUCCUUUUGCUUUAUCAUCUGGACUCCAAAAGUCCACUUCCACCAUAGCCCCUGUGCCAAGUAGAGUGAAUUUACCAAAGUUUUUAAGCUCCACCAACUUGGCCUUAUUGGGAAAUCUCAUAAGAAAGGUUUUGGGACUCUGAAAUUUGGCUCUCCAUGUCCACCCCUAAUCAAACAUCUUGUUGAAUCCAUAGGCCACAGUGGUUUCAUUCAGCUGUCCAGCAUGCACAGUAACCAAGGCCAUAUGAUUUAUGUGUUCAGAAGCUACAAUGUCCUUUGUGUUCUGAACCAGAAGACACCCCAAACCCCUAGCUCCAUACCCAACAUACUUAGCAACUGGUUUAGCUUGCCUUAACAUAGUGCAUUCCUCAGUAUUGUGAGAUGGCCUUUGACCAACCACACAAAACACCUUGUUUUUGUAGUCACUCUUCAUAUGUCCCUGUUCUUUGCAUUUGGCACAGAAAAGCUCUUUGGUAUUUCCUGCUUCCUUCUUUUUUGUUGCCUCUUUGGCCCCUUCCACCUUUGCUCCCCCUUGUGUCCGCAAAAUCUCCUGUUUUGGCAGAUUUGAGAGCAGGUACUGGUAUUGAUGUGCCAUUUGGUCUUAUGGUAUGAAGCCAAAUUGCCCAAGCCCCAUUCCAAACGACACCAUCUAUGUAGUUUCUAUUGCUUAUCAUUGGGAAGCCCCCUGCCAUCUGGAUAGGCCCUCCCUGCAUUCCCAUCUGCUGCAUAUUAGGAUUACUAACCACAAACCCACUUCCAGGCCCAGUCUCACCCAUCCCAACUUGAGAUCUCUCUUGCUGGUUCCCAUUUAUGUCUGAAGUAAACCUGCCUAGCUUGCUGUCUCCAUCUCUGCCAUUUCCCGUCGAGGUUCCUUCCCCACCAGACCGAUUGCUAUUCGUCCAUGAUCCCCCUCUGAAAUUUCCCUCUCUGUUUCUCCAUCCAUAUCCGUCCUGCUCUCUCUCAUCCUGCCUAAUAAAUCCUCUCCCAAAAUUCUCAUACCUGCCAUAUAAAUUACCUCUUCCUCUUGGAACGGCCCCUCUCCUCGGUCUUGGUCUCCAACUCUCCUGCCUGCCUAUCAUGGCUUCUUCUUCUUCCCAGAGAAUUUCUCCCUCCUCAGCGUUCUCCCCUAGGCUUGUCGCCGCCGAGAUCUUGCUAGGGUUAGGGAGGUGGAGGAAAUCAGGUUCUGGAAUGGAG
This 6752-nucleotide long non-coding RNA is filed under the name Triticum aestivum (bread wheat). RNAcentral's name for it is "long non-coding RNA (TAES_LNC024557)". The record is from RNAcentral. Lineage: Eukaryota; Viridiplantae; Streptophyta; Magnoliopsida; Poales; Poaceae.